GACGAACGCUGGCGGCGUGCCUAAUACAUGCAAGUAGAACGCUGAAGAGAGGAGCUUGCUCUUCUUGGAUGAGUUGCGAACGGGUGAGUAACGCGUAGGUAACCUGCCUUGUAGCGGGGGAUAACUAUUGGAAACGAUAGCUAAUACCGCAUAACAAUGGAUGACACAUGUCAUUUAUUUGAAAGGGGCAAUUGUUCCACUACAAGAUGGACCUGCGUUGUAUUAGCUAGUAGGUGAGGUAAUGGCUCACCUAGGCGACGAUACAUAGCCGACCUUAGAGGGUGAUCGGCCACACUGGGACUGAGACACGGCCCAGACUCCUACGGGAGGCAGCAGUAGGGAAUCUUCGGCAAUGGGGGCAACCCUGACCGAGCAACGCCGCGUGAGUGAAGAAGGUUUUCGGAUCGUAAAGCUCUGUUGUAAGUCAAGAACGGGUGUGAGAGUGGAAAGUUCACACUGUGACGGUAGCUUACCAGAAAGGGACGGCUAACUACGUG
RNAcentral lists this ribosomal RNA (497 nucleotides) under uncultured bacterium. RNAcentral's name for it is "partial 16S ribosomal RNA". It matches the Rfam family "Bacterial small subunit ribosomal RNA", at positions 28 to 507 of the family's 1533-position model. The record is from RNAcentral.